UGGGGAAUAUUGGACAAUGGGCGGAAGCCUGAACCAGCCAUGCCGCGUGCAGGAAGACGGCCUUCUGGGUUGUAAACUGCUUUUACCAGGGAACAAAUAGGCCAUGCGUGGCAAGUUGAGUGUACUUGAGGAAUCAGCAUCGGCUAACUCCGUGCCAGCAGCCGCGGUAAUACGGAGGAUGCAAGCGUUAUCCGGAAUGAUUGGGCGUAAAGCGUCUCCAGGUGGCUAUGCAAGUCUGCUGUUAAAGAGUGGAGCUCAACUCCAUAAGGGCAGUGGAAACUGCGUAACUAGAGUACGUUCGGGGUAGAGGGAAUUCCUGGUGUAGCGGUGAAAUGCGUAGAUAUCAGGAAGAACACCGGUGGCGAAAGCGCUCUACUAGGCCGUAACUGACACUGAGAGACGAAAGCUAGGGGAGCGAAAGGGAUUAGAUACCCCCGUAGUCC
This 443-nucleotide ribosomal RNA is filed under the name uncultured prokaryote. RNAcentral's name for it is "bacterial SSU rRNA". It matches the Rfam family "Bacterial small subunit ribosomal RNA", at positions 355 to 796 of the family's 1533-position model. The record is from RNAcentral.